GAUGAACGCUAGCGGCAGGCCUAAUACAUGCAAGUCGAACGAUAGUUGGGGCUUGCCCCAACGAAAAGUGGCGCACGGGUGCGUAACGCGUAUGCAACCUACCUUAAUCAGGGGGAUAGCCCGAAGAAAUUCGGAUUAACACCGCAUAAAAUCACAGUAUAGCAUUAUACAAUGAUCAAAUAUUUAUAGGAUUAAGAUGGGCAUGCGUGACAUUAGUUAGUUGGCGAGGUAACGGCUCACCAAGACUACGAU
RNAcentral lists this ribosomal RNA (252 nucleotides) under uncultured bacterium. Its description in RNAcentral is "partial 16S ribosomal RNA". It matches the Rfam family "Bacterial small subunit ribosomal RNA", at positions 28 to 280 of the family's 1533-position model. The record is from RNAcentral.